RNAcentral lists this ribosomal RNA (481 nucleotides) under uncultured bacterium. Its description in RNAcentral is "partial 16S ribosomal RNA". It matches the Rfam family "Bacterial small subunit ribosomal RNA", at positions 28 to 507 of the family's 1533-position model. The record is from RNAcentral.
GAUGAACGCUGGCGGCGUGCUUAACACAUGCAAGUCGAACGAAGCACUUUAUUUGAUUUCCUUCGGGACUGAUUAUUUUGUGACUGAGUGGCGGACGGGUGAGUAACGCGUGGGUAACCUGCCUUGUACAGGGGGAUAACAGUUGGAAACGGCUGCUAAUACCGCAUAAGCGCACGGCAUCGCAUGAUGCAGUGUGAAAAACUCCGGUGGUAUAAGAUGGACCCGCGUUGGAUUAGCUAGUUGGUGAGGUAACGGCCCACCAAGGCGACGAUCCAUAGCCGACCUGAGAGGGUGACCGGCCACAUUGGGACUGAGACACGGCCCAAACUCCUACGGGUGGCAGCAGUGGGGAAUAUUGCACAAUGGGCGAAAGCCUGAUGCAGCGACGCCGCGUGAGCGAAGAAGUAUUUCGGUAUGUAAAGCUCUAUCAGCAGGGAAGAUAAUGACGGUACCUGACUAAGAAGCACCGGCUAAAUACGUG